GACGAACGCUGGCGGCGUGCUUAACACAUGCAAGUCGAACGCUGAAGACCUGGCUUUUGUUGGGUUGGAUGAGUGGCGAACGGGUGAGUAACACGUGAGUAACCUGCCCUCUUCUUUGGGAUAACGCCCGGAAACGGGUGCUAAUACUGGAUAUUCACUGAUCUUCGCAUGGGGGUUGGUGGAAAGGUUUGUUCUGGUGGGGGAUGGGCUCGCGGCCUAUCAGCUUGUUGGUGGGGUGAUGGCCUACCAAGGCUUUGACGGGUAGCCGGCCUGAGAGGGUGACCGGUCAAAGUGGGAAUGAGAUACGGCCCAGAGUCCUACGGGAGGCAGCAGUGGGGAAUAUUGCACAAUGGGCGAAAGCCUGAUGCAGCGACGCCGCGUGAGGGAUGGAGGCCUUCGGGUUGUAAACCUCUUUCGCUCAUGGUCAAGCCGCAACUGUGGGUUGUGGUGAGGGUAGUGGGUAAAGAAGCGCCGGCUAACUACGUG
RNAcentral lists this ribosomal RNA (486 nucleotides) under uncultured bacterium. RNAcentral's name for it is "partial 16S ribosomal RNA". It matches the Rfam family "Bacterial small subunit ribosomal RNA", at positions 28 to 507 of the family's 1533-position model. The record is from RNAcentral.